The sequence is a ribosomal RNA, 510 nucleotides long. The stretch from base 124 to 277 matches the Rfam family "5.8S ribosomal RNA".
UGAACAUUCCUAAAACGGGGGUUUUAGCGGGAGGCCACGGCCCUCUCCAAUUGGCAGGCGUUACCUAAUAACCCCUGGAACCGGCGGUGGGACCGCCUCCGGAUUUGGGGGAAAAUAAAUUAAAACUUUCAACAACGGAUCUCUUGGCUCUGGCAUCGAUGAAGAACGCAGCGAAAUGCGAUAAGUAAUGUGAAUUGCAGAAUUCAGUGAAUCAUCGAAUCUUUGAACGCACAUUGCGCCCGCCAGUAUUCUGGCGGGCAUGCCUGUUCGAGCGUCAUUACAACCCUCAGGCCCCCGGGCCUGGCGUUGGGGAUCGGCGAGGCGCCCCCUGUGGGCACGCGCCGUCCCCCAAAUACAGUGGCGUCCCGCCGCAGCUUCCAUUGCGUAGUAGCUAACACCUCGCAACUGGAGAGCGGCGCGGCCAUGCCGUAAAACACCCAACUUCUGAAUGUUGACCUCGAAUCAGGUAGGAAUACCCGCUGAACUUAAGCAUAUCAAUAAGCGGAGGAA